RNAcentral lists this long non-coding RNA (235 nucleotides) under Nicotiana benthamiana. RNAcentral's name for it is "long non-coding RNA (NBEN_LNC000993)". Lineage: Eukaryota; Viridiplantae; Streptophyta; Magnoliopsida; Solanales; Solanaceae. The record is from RNAcentral.
UAGUGCCAUCAAAUUAUUCUUUUGGACCUUAUCAACUCCACGAUAUGCUUUGGCCAAAAUAUACCAUCGCUGUUUUGUUGUUUGGGCUGUGGAAAUUUUGCCAAACACAGACAUAUCGAUGGCCUUGUGUAUUUGGGACAAGGCCAUACUAUCACGCCUUAUUUCAUUCUUUUCAGCACCUUCCUCCAGUUCUUCUCGCGUAUAUUUUAACAAAUUAUACGCCUUCAGAUGUGUC